AACCUAGCACACCUGCGGUGUGUACCUGCGGAGGGAUCAUUACAGAGAUUGAUGCACCAAGUGCAUCACCUCCAACCCCUUGCGAAAACAACUAUCAUGUGUUGCUUUGGCAGUGUUUCCACUGCCAGAGGUUUACAUAAAAUCAGCUGUUGGAUGUUGUCUGAGUAAACUAUAUGAAUUAUUUAAAACUUUUAACAACGGAUCU
This 205-nucleotide unclassified non-coding RNA is filed under the name soil metagenome. RNAcentral's name for it is "partial contains 5.8S ribosomal RNA, internal transcribed spacer 2, and large subunit ribosomal RNA". The record is from RNAcentral.